UCCUGUCACUCUUCAGCUGUCUCUGUCAAAAUAAAGCUUGAAAAGGCCAAAAAAAUAUCUUUAAAGAAAAAAAUAAGUACUUAAUCCUGUAGACUCCAGUAGACUCCUCCUCAAUCAACAAAUUUAAUUUGAUACCUAAUAUGUUGCAUCUGUAAUCAUCAUAUUAGAAACAACAGUACAGCUACAUGAGAAAAAGUGUUACAGUCAUCGUGACCUGGUCAGUCCUCCCUGUCGACUCUUCAGUGAACUGUCCAAAGAAAACAGCCUCCAUCUGGGCAAUGAGAGCCGGACCAGGAGGAGGAGCAGGAGACCAGGAGGAGGAACAGGCCUUUCAAAGUGGCCAGGUGAAGAGAUCAGCUGCUGGGGGAUGCAGCAACACCCGAGCAGGAGGAGGAGUAGGAGGAGGGUGAGGCCUAACAGCCAAAGAGCAGUGGCUGAGGGUGGGUCAGGAUCUCCCUCACAGCACAAUCUGACAGCUUUUAAACACAGCUACUGUAAACCCUGGGAUGGGGAAGCGUCCUCCGGCUCAGGCAAGAUACUGAACAACAAAUUGCGAAGAUGCAUGUGAAUGGUUAGCAUCCCAUAAACUGAUGAGCAGUCUGAGAGUAGAAAGGUGCACAAUAAAUGCAGCUCAUUAC
Molecule: long non-coding RNA, 638 nt
Organism: Larimichthys crocea (large yellow croaker)
Lineage: Eukaryota; Metazoa; Chordata; Actinopteri; Sciaenidae
Exons: 3
Source: RefSeq, a predicted model, not a curated record